AAAUUGAAGAGUUUGAUCAUGGCUCAGAUUGAACGCUGGCGGCAGGCCUAACACAUGCAAGUCGAACGGUAACAGGAAGCGGCUUGCUGCUUCGCUGACGAGUGGCGGACGGGUGAGUAAUGUCUGGGAAACUGCCUGAUGGAGGGGGAUAACUACUGGAAACGGUGGCUAAUACCGCAUAACGUCGCAAGACCAAAGAGGGGGACCUUCGGGCCUCUUGCCAUCAGAUGUGCCCAGAUGGGAUUAGCU
RNAcentral lists this ribosomal RNA (249 nucleotides) under Salmonella enterica. RNAcentral describes it as "partial 16S ribosomal RNA". It matches the Rfam family "Bacterial small subunit ribosomal RNA", at positions 1 to 246 of the family's 1533-position model. The record is from RNAcentral. Lineage: Bacteria; Pseudomonadati; Pseudomonadota; Gammaproteobacteria; Enterobacterales; Enterobacteriaceae. RNAcentral also lists the same sequence under 2 other names.